Molecule: long non-coding RNA, 635 nt
Organism: Aplysia californica (California sea hare)
Lineage: Eukaryota; Metazoa; Mollusca; Gastropoda; Aplysiida; Aplysiidae
Exons: 2
Source: RefSeq, a predicted model, not a curated record
AAGCAGCGGAACAGAUGGUUUGUGGGAUGGCCCAGGUGCAAGUAGAAGAACUACUCACUCAACUACUCACACGACAGUGCCCCGCUCUCUGGCAUAUUCAUGGCUGCCUGGGGAAACCAUCCACCGGCCGCGGAACUGGGACUGGCUGAUCCUAGCCUUAUCGGGUGGUUGCACUGAGGGAAGUUCAUGAAUGUAUCCCCAAACAGUGAACGCAGUUUCGCUAACUAGGAGAAGUAUGCACUGGUUAUGUUGACAAGGAACCAAAUAUUGGCAAACAUAUGUUCUCCUCUGUGAUUCUGACUCUUAGAUACUAAUAGUCCUAGAAUAAUGUUAAUUGAACAGUGUCUAUUGAAAGAAGCAAAUACUUCAUAGACUCUUUUCGAAGGUACUAUCGGAAACGGAUAACACACUAUACAAGAUAACAAAUUAUCCAACUGUUUACCUGGAUGAUCAGUUAUUGCCGAAGUCUGAGUGCGCGAGUGUUGGGACCAGCUAAACAUGCACAGACCGUGAGUUAUUUCAGCUGACUGACGACAUGGAGUAUAAUUUGCGACUGUCGCCUCGUCCACGGUUCCCGGUACCAUGAGGAACACCGUUUUUCACGGAAUGUCCACUGUCAGCGUCACAUAAGGUAA